Molecule: ribosomal RNA, 497 nt
Filed under: uncultured bacterium
Lineage: Bacteria
Description: partial 16S ribosomal RNA
Rfam family: Bacterial small subunit ribosomal RNA
Source: RNAcentral
GAUGAACGCUGGCGGCGUGCCUAAUACAUGCAAGUCGAGCGAACGGACGAGAAGCUUGCUUCUCUGAUGUUAGCGGCGGACGGGUGAGUAACACGUGGAUAACCUACCUAUAAGACUGGGAUAACUUCGGGAAACCGGAGCUAAUACCGGAUAAUAUUUUUAACCGCCUGGUUCAAAAGUGAAAGACGGUCUUGCUGUCACUUAUAGAUGGAUCCGCGCUGCAUUAGCUAGUUGGUAAGGUAACGGCUUACCAAGGCAACGAUGCAUAGCCGACCUGAGAGGGUGAUCGGCCACACUGGAACUGAGACACGGUCCAGACUCCUACGGGAGGCAGCAGUAGGGAAUCUUCCGCAAUGGGCGAAAGCCUGACGGAGCAACGCCGCGUGAGUGAUGAAGGUCUUCGGAUCGUAAAACUCUGUUAUUAGGGAAGAACAUAUGUGUAAGUAACUGUGCACAUCUUGACGGUACCUAAUCAGAAAGCCACGGCUAACUACGUG